This 446-nucleotide ribosomal RNA is filed under the name uncultured bacterium. RNAcentral describes it as "partial 16S ribosomal RNA". It matches the Rfam family "Bacterial small subunit ribosomal RNA", at positions 329 to 792 of the family's 1533-position model. The record is from RNAcentral.
UUCCAGACUCCUACGGGAGGCAGCAGUGGGGAAUAUUGCACAAUGGGGGGAACCCUGAUGCAGCGACGCCGCGUGGGUGAAGGAGUACUUCGGUACGUAAAGCCCUAUCAGCAGGAAAGAAAAUGACGGUACCUGACUAAGAAGCCCCGGCUAACUACGUGCCAGCAGCCGCGGUAAUACGUAGGGGGCAAGCGUUAUCCGGAUUUACUGGGUGUAAAGGGAGCGUAGACGGCGACGCAAGUCUGGAGUGAAAGCCCGGGGCCCAACCCCGGGACUGCUCUGGAAACUGCGGCGCUGGAGUACGGGAGGGGCAGGCGGAAUUCCUGGUGUAGCGGUGAAAUGCGUAGAUAUCAGGAGGAACACCGGCGGCGAAGGCGGCCUGCUGGACCGUGACUGACGUUGAGGCCCGAGAGCGUGGGGAGCAAACAGGAUUAGAUACCCUAGUA